GUGGUUCUCCGGUCAUUCAGAAAUUGAGUCGAAGUCUUUGCGGUUACGGUGCCUCUCUCCGCGUUGCUUGGUCGCAUCCAACCUUUGUCAGGUAUAAAGCUAGUUAUCCACUAUUCGCAGCAAGUUAUCAUUGUUCUUUUGAUCUACUAUCGUGAAGAUCGGGCCGCCCUCAUGCCGAUUCGUAUCGAUACCCAUCAACUGGUAUCAAAGCUUUCGUUGUCACAUUAGGUCUCACAACCAUCCUCAUAUUUAUAUUUAGUAUAUCUAUCAUUUGUUACUAAUUUGUUCAUCACCUAUAGUCCACUGAAAAAGCUACAAAAAAAUCCUAAAGCCCUUUGACGGUACUGUUAUCUUGCGUUCAUCACGUUGCUAGUCACCCUCUUUUCAUAUAUUGUGUUGUGUUUCAUUUGUUAUCCGUACCCCUAUUUGUAUAAAAAAAGAGUUAGAAAAAAAAGAACAGAAAGAUCCGAAAGAAAAGUAAAAGAAGAGGAAAGGGGUUGUAUUGCGGUUUGCUUACUGAAAAUUUCAGUUUAUAUAUCCAGAUUCUUGGGGAUUUAUAUACCAGCAACAUUAUAUCUUUUGAGAACAUUAUACCACUUGAUUUUAAGUACCGUAGCCUCCCUUGUUUAGCCACCUAUAGCUCCACCAAAAAAACUAAAACUAGGACUUUCGACUCGUAAUCCUUGCGACCUCGGAAUCACUUCUGUUGAGCUCCUACACUAGCACAAUUCAAUAUCCUUG
RNAcentral lists this long non-coding RNA (741 nucleotides) under Sorghum bicolor (sorghum). RNAcentral's name for it is "long non-coding RNA (SBIC_LNC016242)". Lineage: Eukaryota; Viridiplantae; Streptophyta; Magnoliopsida; Poales; Poaceae. The record is from RNAcentral.